This 252-nucleotide ribosomal RNA is filed under the name uncultured bacterium. RNAcentral's name for it is "partial 16S ribosomal RNA". It matches the Rfam family "Bacterial small subunit ribosomal RNA", at positions 524 to 776 of the family's 1533-position model. The record is from RNAcentral.
UACGUAGGGUGCGAGCGUUGUCCGGAAUUAUUGGGCGUAAAGAGCUCGUAGGCGGUUUGUCGCGUCUGCUGUGAAAUCCCGAGUCUCAACCUCGGGCCUGCAGUGGGUACGGGCAGACUAGAGUGCGGUAGCAGAGAUUGGAAUUCCUGUGUAGCGGUGGAAUGCGCAGAUAUCAGGAGGAACACCGGUGGCGAAGGCAGAUCUCUGGGCCGUAACUGACGCUGAGGAGCGAAAGCGUGGGGAGCGAACAGG